This 507-nucleotide ribosomal RNA is filed under the name uncultured bacterium. Its description in RNAcentral is "partial 16S ribosomal RNA". It matches the Rfam family "Bacterial small subunit ribosomal RNA", at positions 28 to 507 of the family's 1533-position model. The record is from RNAcentral.
GACGAACGCUGGCGGCGUGCCUAAUACAUGCAAGUCGAACGCAUUUUCUUUCACCGUAGCUUGCUACACCGAAAGAAAAUGAGUGGCGAACGGGUGAGUAACACGUGGGUAACCUGCCCAUCAGCGGGGGAUAACACUUGGAAACAGGUGCUAAUACCGCAUAAUUCCAUUUACUGCAUGGUAGAUGGAUGAAAGGCGCUUUUGCGUCACUGAUGGAUGGACCCGCGGUGCAUUAGCUAGUUGGUGGGGUAACGGCCUACCAAGGCUGCGAUGCAUAGCCGACCUGAGAGGGUGAUCGGCCACACUGGGACUGAGACACGGCCCAGACUCCUACGGGAGGCAGCAGUAGGGAAUCUUCGGCAAUGGACGCAAGUCUGACCGAGCAACGCCGCGUGAGUGAAGAAGGUUGUCGGACCGUAAAACUCUGUUGUUAGAAAAGAACAAGGAUGAGAGUGGAAAGUUCAUCCCUUGACGGUAUCUAACCAGAAAGCCACGGCUAACUACGUG